Lutra lutra (Eurasian river otter) is the source of this 1353-nucleotide long non-coding RNA. RefSeq lists it as uncharacterized. The record is from RefSeq and is a predicted model, not a curated record. The transcript is spliced from 3 exons. Lineage: Eukaryota; Metazoa; Chordata; Mammalia; Carnivora; Mustelidae.
CUAGGGCUUGAGAGGGUGGAGGUUGCUUUGAGGGUAAGCUGUGGGGGCUCCAAACCUGGGCACUUCCCACAGUGAAAUUCGAAAGUGGCCCCUGAAGGCAAGGGAGAGGCCGAAGGAAGAGGCAGGCCUCUCCAGAAGGGUAGGCGCCGGUUUUAAAAGGCGAGGGAACUUACCGAGGAGGCUUGGCCGGGGUGCCCACAAGACGAGUAGAUUGGCACCUGCUGGUCAGCCCCUGCAGGGUUUUAUAGAGACCCCAGUGGGGUUUCGUCACAUGUGCGCUCCACGUGGUAUCAACACCAGGAUACUCUCUCAAGCCUGCAUCCUCAAAAAGGGCAGGACGGGGGAGGGGUGAGCAGCCUGCCAUUGUCCCCGCCGCCCCACUCGCCUUCUGAAUGACCUCGAGCAACAGGCUACAGCCAGAGAUUAAGAAGCAAGCCCACUGCAGGGCUGAGGUGGCCAGAUGAAGAGAAGAGGAUGACGGGCGCUGAAGAUUGCAUUCCUGGACUCUUUCAUCCGUAUCCCUCUACUCCCAUUUGCUUUUUUUUUUUUUUUUUUUAAAUACCCCCUCCUGGCUGGAAGCAUCUGCUCCUUGUUUAACACCUGGAGUCGUCAGGAGCCGCCACAUGGCACCACCGGGGAGGUAGAGCAGAGUGAAAAGAUUAGAAGCCAGCCCCAUGGUAUUGUUUGGGCUCUUAAAUCCUGCUGUACCGGAACUUAGCCCUACCCCUGAACUCUUGAAGAUAUGAGACGAUGAAAUUCAUCUUCCCUUAACUGGUUCCAUUUGCGUUUCUGUUGCUUUGCAAUGGAAAGAGACCUGGCCUCUACCAUCUCCAAAAUGAGAGGCAAGAUUUAAGCCAGCUGUAUUUAAGCUUUUAAGAUAAUCAGUUUGAAGCUUAGAAGGAACAGAAAACCCCGGCUGCAGCACACCUACUGGAGCACACCUACUGGAUAAUUACGCUGAACCAAGGGAGAGUGUGGACUGCCAAGCUGCCCUCAGCAACCUGAAUCCAGAGGCAGGACUGGGCCAGCCAGAAGUUGUGACGGCUCUGGAAUUGCUGCCCGUUCCACUGCCUCUGCCUGCCCUCCAGAGGGGCAAGGCAAACAUGCGAGUCCUCCAGGGCGGAAUUGGCGGGGCUGACAAGACAGCUGGAGGCUAGAGGGGGCGGCGGCGUGGGAUGCUCAGCCAGGCACGGAAAGUGGCAGAAUUUUCCAAGAUGCACAUUGACUCUUCCUGUCAAGGUAGAAGGCUCUAAUGCCACCUAGGGCAGCUAGAUUGCAUUUGCCAAUCGCGGACUGCUGUUGCCAAUUUGUUCCUGAUCUCAAGGUCGAUUCUGAAUAAUUUUAGCUGGGCUA